Long non-coding RNA from Trifolium pratense (red clover), 444 nucleotides. RefSeq lists it as uncharacterized. Lineage: Eukaryota; Viridiplantae; Streptophyta; Magnoliopsida; Fabales; Fabaceae. The record is from RefSeq and is a predicted model, not a curated record. The transcript has 3 exons.
CAAAAAGACAAACCAAAUAAAACACGGAAACCCCACCCACCCCUUUCUAUUUCUCUCACGUGCCUUUCACUCUCUACUCCCAUCUUCUAGAAUUCUCUCCACUCUCACUUUCAUUUUGUUCGUCUCUAUUCCAAUUCACCAUAAUUCUUUUUCUCUUCUCUCCACUCUUGAUGGUUAAUUACUCAUAAGCAAAGCUAUCUCCUAGUCUAAAAGUGUUCAUGGGUAAAGAUUUUGGAGUUAGGGUUAUUGCUCUAAGAAAGGAGAAGAAUAUGAUCCAUCUCUUGAAAGUUGGUCAUUUAUAUUCUUUGAGAUUCGAUGAAAAUUGCUCCGGUGGUCAUUCCGGAAGGCAUUGCUAGGAACGGAGUUGAUUCGUCAUAGUUAUUCAAAGUCAACUGAAUAGAAAGCUUCUAUCAGAGUUAAAGAUUUGUCAAUGUCACUCUUUUG